This 301-nucleotide ribosomal RNA is filed under the name uncultured bacterium. RNAcentral describes it as "partial 16S ribosomal RNA". It matches the Rfam family "Bacterial small subunit ribosomal RNA", at positions 509 to 807 of the family's 1533-position model. The record is from RNAcentral.
CAGCCGCCACGGUAAUACGUAGGGUGCAAGCGUUAAUCGGAAUUACUGGGCGUAAAGCGUGCGCAGGCGGUUGUGCAAGACAGAUGUGAAAUCCCCGAGCUUAACUUGGGAACUGCAUUUGUGACUGCACGGCUAGAGUGUGUCAGAGGGGGGUAGAAUUCCACGUGUAGCAGUGAAAUGCGUAGAUAUGUGGAGGAAUACCGAUGGCGAAGGCAGCCCCCUGGGAUAACACUGACGCUCAUGCACGAAAGCGUGGGGAGCAAACAGGAUUAGAUACCCCCGUAGUCCCUGUCUCUUAUAC